Molecule: ribosomal RNA, 253 nt
Filed under: uncultured bacterium
Lineage: Bacteria
Description: partial 16S ribosomal RNA
Rfam family: Bacterial small subunit ribosomal RNA
Source: RNAcentral
UACGAAGGGGGCUAGCGUUGUUCGGAAUUACUGGGCGUAAAGGGCGCGUAGGCUGUGCUGUAAGUCAGGCGUGAAAGCCCCGGGCUCAACCUGGGAAUUGCGCUUGAUACUGCGGCGCUGGAAGGUGGGAGAGGAUGGCGGAAUUCCCAGUGUAGAGGUGAAAUUCGUAGAUAUUGGGAAGAACACCGGUGGCGAAGGCGCACUCUGGCCCAUUUUUGACGCUGAGGCGCGAAAGCGUUGGGGAGCAAACAGG